CUAAGGGUAGUAACUGGUAAGGUUUCAUUCUUUCUCAAUAAUAAAAAAAAAAUCUCAAUUUUUUUGAGGUUGCUGAGCCUCAAAACACUACAAACGGCUUCUGCGUUUGUAACCACAAUCCACAACUCUCCCAUCCCCAAGAGAUUGCUCUCUUCCAGGCAAGGUUGAAUCCAAGAAGAAUAAUAAGCCGAUUCCUUGAUUCGAAAGA
Long non-coding RNA from Telopea speciosissima, 208 nucleotides. RefSeq lists it as uncharacterized. NCBI's taxonomy places the organism in Eukaryota, Viridiplantae, Streptophyta, Magnoliopsida, Proteales, Proteaceae. The transcript is spliced from 2 exons. The record is from RefSeq and is a predicted model, not a curated record.